UGCGGGGUAGAGCAGUUGGCAGCUCGGCGGUCUCAUGCGCCGCAGGUCGAUGGUUCGAGUCCAUCUCCCGCAACCA
Molecule: transfer RNA, 76 nt
Filed under: Xanthomonas boreopolis
Lineage: Bacteria; Pseudomonadati; Pseudomonadota; Gammaproteobacteria; Lysobacterales; Lysobacteraceae
Description: [Pseudomonas] boreopolis tRNA-Met
Rfam family: tRNA
About the family: Transfer RNA (tRNA) molecules are approximately 80 nucleotides in length. Their secondary structure includes four short double-helical elements and three loops (D, anti-codon, and T loops). Further hydrogen bonds mediate the characteristic L-shaped molecular structure. tRNAs have two regions of fundamental functional importance: the anti-codon, which is responsible for specific mRNA codon recognition, and the 3' end, to which the tRNAs corresponding amino acid is attached (by aminoacyl-tRNA synthetases). tRNAs cope with the degeneracy of the genetic code in two manners: having more than one tRNA (with a specific anti-codon) for a particular amino acid; and 'wobble' base-pairing, i.e. permitting non-standard base-pairing at the 3rd anti-codon position.
Source: RNAcentral